This 72-nucleotide transfer RNA is filed under the name Argentina anserina (silverweed cinquefoil). Its description in RNAcentral is "tRNA-Glu". It matches the Rfam family "tRNA". Rfam says of the family: Transfer RNA (tRNA) molecules are approximately 80 nucleotides in length. Their secondary structure includes four short double-helical elements and three loops (D, anti-codon, and T loops). The record is from RNAcentral. Lineage: Eukaryota; Viridiplantae; Streptophyta; Magnoliopsida; Rosales; Rosaceae. RNAcentral also lists the same sequence under 1 other name.
GUCCCUUUCGUCCAGUGGUAAGGACACCGGCUUUUCACGCCGAAGACACGGGUUCAAUUCCCGUAAGGGAUA